Molecule: ribosomal RNA, 446 nt
Filed under: uncultured bacterium
Lineage: Bacteria
Description: partial 16S ribosomal RNA
Rfam family: Bacterial small subunit ribosomal RNA
Source: RNAcentral
CCUACGGGAGGCAGCAGUGGGGGAUAUUGCACAAUGGGGGAAACCCUGAUGGUGCGACGCCGCGUGGGGGAAUGAAGGUCUUCGGAUUGUAAACCCCUGUCAUGUGGGAGCAAAUUAAAAAGAUAGUACCACAAGAGGAAGAGACGGCUAACUCUGUGCCAGCAGCCGCGGUAAUACAGAGGUCUCAAGCGUUGUUCGGAAUCACUGGGCGUAAAGCGUGCGUAGGCUGUUUCGUAAGUCGUGUGUGAAAGGCGCGGGCUCAACCCGCGGACGGCACAUGAUACUGCGAGACUAGAGUAAGGGAGAGGGAAGCGGAAUUCUCGGUGUAGCAGUGAAAUGCGUAGAUAUCGAGAGGAACACUCGUGGCGAAGGCGGGUUCCUGGACAUUAACUGACGCUGAGGCACGAAGGCCAGGGGAGCGAAAGGGAUUAGAUACCCUUGUAGUC